Molecule: ribosomal RNA, 492 nt
Filed under: uncultured bacterium
Lineage: Bacteria
Description: partial 16S ribosomal RNA
Rfam family: Bacterial small subunit ribosomal RNA
Source: RNAcentral
AGUGAACGCUGGCGGUAGGCCUAACACAUGCAAGUCGAACGGCAGCACAGUAAGAGCUUGCUCUUACGGGCGGCGAGUGGCGGACGGGUGAGGAGUACAUCGGACUCUACUUUUUCGUGGGGGGGAACGUAGGGAAACUUCCGCUAAUACCGCAUCCGACCUACGGGUGAAAGCAGGGGAUCUUCGGACCUUGCGCGAUUGAAUGAGCCGAUGUCGGAUUAGCUAGUUGGCGGGGUAACGGCCCACCAAGGCGGCGAUCCGUAGCUGGACUGAGAGGAUGAUCAGCCACCCUGGAACGAGGACAGGGGCCAGACUCCUGCGGGAGGCACCAGUGGGGAAUAUUCGACAAUGGGCGGAAGCGUGAUCCAGCCAUACCGCGGGGGUGAAGAAGGCCUUCGGGUUGUAAAGCCCUUUUGUUUGGAAAGAAAAGCAGCAGGUUAAUACCCCGCUGUUCUGACGGUACCCAAAGAAUAAGCACCGGCUAACUUCGUG